Long non-coding RNA from Stegostoma tigrinum, 329 nucleotides. RefSeq lists it as uncharacterized. Lineage: Eukaryota; Metazoa; Chordata; Chondrichthyes; Orectolobiformes; Stegostomatidae. The record is from RefSeq and is a predicted model, not a curated record. The transcript is spliced from 3 exons.
CGAUUUUAUAUUCUCUCAGUCCGCUUGAAGGAACGCUGCAGCUGCGGUUCAAGUCAUUUUCGCCGUCCAUCGUGAUUCAGUUUACCCAAAGGAGGCAAAGGGGAAUGCAAAAGGGCAACCUGAAGGUAGCGAUAGUGAAGGACUUGGAGAAUAACAAGGAAUCAGCACGAUUUUGGAACACUAGCAAUAUCUCACAUAUGAAAUCUUCCUGUUAUGAUUCUAUAACAACAAGCACCAACGGGAACAGUGAGAUCGAGGACCAGGGGGCUGUCGAAAAUGUAAAUUCUUCAUUUUGGUAGCAGAGCUGAGUGGGAGCGGUCGAAAUGCGC